This 846-nucleotide ribosomal RNA is filed under the name Ectophoma pomi. RNAcentral's name for it is "partial large subunit ribosomal RNA". It matches the Rfam family "Eukaryotic large subunit ribosomal RNA", at positions 66 to 930 of the family's 3401-position model. The record is from RNAcentral. Lineage: Eukaryota; Fungi; Ascomycota; Dothideomycetes; Pleosporales; Didymellaceae.
CAACAGGGAUUGCCCUAGUAACGGCGAGUGAAGCGGCAACAGCUCAAAUUUGAAAUCUGGCGUCUUCGGCGUCCGAGUUGUAAUUUGCAGAGGGCGCUUUGGCAUUGGCAGCGGUCCAAGUUCCUUGGAACAGGACGUCACAGAGGGUGAGAAUCCCGUACGUGGUCGCUAGCCUUUACCGUGUAAAGCCCCUUCGACGAGUCGAGUUGUUUGGGAAUGCAGCUCUAAAUGGGAGGUAAAUUUCUUCUAAAGCUAAAUACUGGCCAGAGACCGAUAGCGCACAAGUAGAGUGAUCGAAAGAUGAAAAGCACUUUGGAAAGAGAGUUAAAAAGCACGUGAAAUUGUUGAAAGGGAAGCGCUUGCAGCCAGACUUGCCUGUAGUUGCUCAUCCGGGUUUCUACCCGGUGCACUCUUCUAUAGGCAGGCCAGCAUCAGUUUGGGCGGUUGGAUAAAGGUCUCUGUCAUGUACCUCCUUUCGGGGAGAACUUAUAGGGGAGACGACAUGCAACCAGCCCGGACUGAGGUCCGCGCAUCUGCUAGGAUGCUGGCGUAAUGGCUGUAAGCGGCCCGUCUUGAAACACGGACCAAGGAGUCUAACAUCUAUGCGAGUGUUUGGGUGUCAAGCCCGAACGCGUAAUGAAAGUGAACGGAGGUGGGAACCUUUCGGGGUGCACCAUCGACCGAUCCUGAUGUCUUCGGAUGGAUUUGAGUAAGAGCAUAGCUGUUGGGACCCGAAAGAUGGUGAACUAUGCUUGAAUAGGGUGAAGCCAGAGGAAACUCUGGUGGAGGCUCGCAGCGGUUCUGACGUGCAAAUCGAUCGUCAAAUUUGGGCAUAGGGGCGAAAGA